This 255-nucleotide ribosomal RNA is filed under the name Funisciurus sp. LIK280. RNAcentral's name for it is "partial large subunit ribosomal RNA". It matches the Rfam family "Bacterial large subunit ribosomal RNA", at positions 2369 to 2623 of the family's 2925-position model. The record is from RNAcentral. Lineage: Eukaryota; Metazoa; Chordata; Mammalia; Rodentia; Sciuridae.
GUACAAAACAACCUCCGAAUGAUAUUAACCAAGACACACUCGUCCAAGUUCAUAUUCAUAAAUUGACCCAAACUAAUUGACCAACGGAACAAGUUACCCUAGGGAUAACAGCGCAAUCCUACUCAAGAGUCCAUAUCGACAGUUAGGGUUUACGACCUCGAUGUUGGAUCAGGACAUCCAAAUGGUGUAGCCGCUAUUAAAGGUUCGUUUGUUCAACGAUUAAAGUCCUACGUGAUCUGAGUUCAGACCGGAGAA